RNAcentral lists this transfer RNA (73 nucleotides) under Umboniibacter marinipuniceus. It matches the Rfam family "tRNA". Rfam says of the family: Transfer RNA (tRNA) molecules are approximately 80 nucleotides in length. Their secondary structure includes four short double-helical elements and three loops (D, anti-codon, and T loops). Further hydrogen bonds mediate the characteristic L-shaped molecular structure. tRNAs have two regions of fundamental functional importance: the anti-codon, which is responsible for specific mRNA codon recognition, and the 3' end, to which the tRNAs corresponding amino acid is attached (by aminoacyl-tRNA synthetases). tRNAs cope with the degeneracy of the genetic code in two manners: having more than one tRNA (with a specific anti-codon) for a particular amino acid; and 'wobble' base-pairing, i.e. permitting non-standard base-pairing at the 3rd anti-codon position. Lineage: Bacteria; Pseudomonadati; Pseudomonadota; Gammaproteobacteria; Cellvibrionales; Cellvibrionaceae. The record is from Rfam by way of RNAcentral.
GCUCUUAUAGCUCAGUUGGUAGAGCGCGUCCUUGGUAAGGACGAGGUCAGCGGUUCAAAUCCGCUUAAGAGCU